Molecule: non-coding RNA, 30 nt
Filed under: Homo sapiens (human)
Lineage: Eukaryota; Metazoa; Chordata; Mammalia; Primates; Hominidae
Source: RNAcentral
UGGAAUCCAAGCUAAGGUGUCUGACUUCAA